CUUACUGCCGUACGAUCUCAUCACGGUGUUGAGGAUUGAUUUUUUUAAUGGGUUGCGGGUCGAGGAAAACUGAUAUUUUUGGAGCCUGGUUGGUUGGUUGGCCGGUCCGAUUUUCUUGGUACUUCUGUUCUUUGUUUGGUCUUCGCUGUGUAUACAUAGUACUAUAACUGAUCGGAGGCAAGGUUUGUUUAGAAAAAUCAGAUCUGGAUGUAACCUAACAAUAAUCCUCUUUGUCUUUCUCUCUCUUCCCCAUCCAUUAACAAGAUUAGGAUCGAUGGAAAUUACCAAAAGAGAUCGAGGUACGCAAUAAUGUGACUGUUUUCCAUCCAUGUGUCUUGCUAAUUGAUUUCCCUUUUUCACGGCCAAGCAGUGGCGCACAAAAAUUUCAUUUUACUAAUGGGCUUGACUUGAUUCAUCUGCUCUCUCUUUACGAGAGGAAGCUGAAUCGGGAUAAAUCAUUAGAAGUAAAAGGAGCCUCAACAAGCACCAACAACCAAUAUGUGACUGCUCUGACGGGCGGCGGCGGCACCGAUAGUGUACGGCUUCAUAUGUCGAUGACUGCUUGCUUUAGCGUUGCAUGGAUCGGAGACCUACGACUUCAUCUCUGCCACGACGAACGACUGUACCUGGCCUUACGUGUGAAUGGUCUCGCACAGUGGUGGCCACGAUGAUAUACAUACAACUGCACACAACCGACUAGUGACUACUCCCGGCAACAACGACGAACGGCUGCUCACAACCGAUGACUGCUCCUGUGUCGAGACAACGAUGACUGCUCCUGUGCUCUGAUGGGUAUAUUAAGUUGAUCAUUAAGUCAUAGAUUUGUGUAUGCACAUGCAUUAGCACGCAUCAUCAUCAGACAAACAACCCAUGUCCUCAAAAAAGUCUUCUAGCUAGUAUAUGCAGUUGCUUCAAGGUGUAGUAUGUCAUAGAUACUUCAUUUAAUUUUAUACUACAGUUACGUAAUUUUUCAAGAGGCAAUCUCACAAUAUACUAUAGUACUUGUACCUGUACAUGUGGAGAGAACAUUUUGAAUACGCCUUUCAA
This is a long non-coding RNA of Triticum aestivum (bread wheat), 1047 nucleotides long. RefSeq lists it as uncharacterized. Lineage: Eukaryota; Viridiplantae; Streptophyta; Magnoliopsida; Poales; Poaceae. The record is from RefSeq and is a predicted model, not a curated record. The transcript has 2 exons.